Molecule: non-coding RNA, 237 nt
Filed under: Erythrobacter sp.
Lineage: Bacteria; Pseudomonadati; Pseudomonadota; Alphaproteobacteria; Sphingomonadales; Erythrobacteraceae
Also listed under: 1 other name
Source: RNAcentral
CCCACCGGGUCGACUUGCGGCCCGGUAAAGCGCGCCGGUAACGGGAAUGCAGUGCGCUCGGCCAUGCCGGGCAAAUCUGCAGCUGACCCUGCAACUGUAAGCGGUGAGCACGAUGUGCACGCGGAUCGGAGACGGUCUGCAGCCACUGGAUGGCCGGGCGAAUGCCGGGCCGCUGGGAAGGCGCCCAUCGUGUGACGACCCGCGAGCCAGGAGACCGACCGAUGCGUGUCGCUCUUG